RNAcentral lists this ribosomal RNA (579 nucleotides) under Clostridioides difficile. RNAcentral's name for it is "bacterial LSU rRNA". It matches the Rfam family "Bacterial large subunit ribosomal RNA", at positions 864 to 1451 of the family's 2925-position model. The record is from RNAcentral. Lineage: Bacteria; Bacillati; Bacillota; Clostridia; Peptostreptococcales; Peptostreptococcaceae.
AUAGCUUUAGGGCUAGCCUCAAGGUGAGAGAUACGGAGGUAGAGCACUGAAUGUCCUAGGGGGUAUUGCACCUACCGAAGACUAUCAAACUCCGAAUGCCGUCAUCUUAUACUUGGGAGUCAGACUGUGGGUGAUAAGAUUCAUAGUCGAAAGGGCAACAGCCCAGAUCGUCAGCUAAGGUCCCUAAAUGUAAGUUAAGUGGUAAAGGAUGUGGGAUUGCACAGACAACCAGGAUGUUGGCUUAGAAGCAGCCACUCAUUCAAAGAGUGCGUAAUAGCUCACUGGUCGAGUGAUCCUGCGCCGAAGAUUUCCGGGGCUAAAACUUACUACCGAAGCUACGGCAUCAGUAAUGAUGGGUAGGGGAGCUUCCCAUACGGGUUGAAGCAUGACCGUAAGGACAUGUGGACAGUAUGGGAGUGGGAAUGUUGGCAUGAGUAGCGAGAUGUGGGUGAGAAUCCCACAGGCCGUAAACCCAAGGUUUCCAGGGGAAGGUUCGUCCGCCCUGGGUUAGUCGGGACCUAAGCUGAGGCCGAAAGGCGUAGGUGAUGGACAACAGGUUGAUAUUCCUGUACUACCGAU